Molecule: ribosomal RNA, 400 nt
Filed under: uncultured bacterium
Lineage: Bacteria
Description: bacterial SSU rRNA
Rfam family: Bacterial small subunit ribosomal RNA
Source: RNAcentral
UGAGGAAUAUUGGACAAUGGAGGAAACUCUGAUCCAGCCAUGCCGCGUGAGUGAAGAAGGCCUUAGGGUUGUAAAGCUCUUUCAGAUGUGAAGAUAAUGACGGUAGCAUCAGAAGAAGCCCCGGCUAAAUUCGUGCCAGCAGCCGCGGUAAUACGAAUGGGGCAAGCGUUGUUCGGAAUCACUGGGCUUAAAGCGUGCGUAGGCGGACUGGAAAGUCAGGAGUGAAAUCCCGGGGCUCAACCUCGGAACUGCUUCUGAAACUUCCCGUCUAGAAUCCGGGAGAGGUUAGUGGAAUUCCUAGUGUAGAGGUGAAAUUCGCAGAUAUUAGGAGGAACACCAGUGGCGAAGGCGACUAACUGGACCGGUAUUGACGCUGAGGUACGAAAGCGUGGGGAUCAAA